Molecule: ribosomal RNA, 415 nt
Filed under: Magallana gigas (Pacific oyster)
Lineage: Eukaryota; Metazoa; Mollusca; Bivalvia; Ostreida; Ostreidae
Description: Crassostrea gigas (Pacific oyster) partial 16S ribosomal RNA
Rfam family: Bacterial large subunit ribosomal RNA
Source: RNAcentral
GAGGGUGCUAAGGUAGCGAAAUUCCUUGCCUUUUGAUUGUGGGCCUGCAUGAAUGGUUUAACGAGGGUUUAACUGUCUCUAAAUUUUUUAUUGAAAUUGUACUGAAGGUGAAGAUACCUUCAUUUAAAAGUUAGACAAAAAGACCCCGUGCAACUUUGAAAAUUGACUUUAUUCAGGAGUAAAAGAUUUUUAGGUGGGGCGCCUAGAAAGCAAGUCUAACCUUUCUGAAUAACUAAUUCUUUCCGGAUUUGACCCGAUUAUAUUCGAUCAUAGGAGAAGUUACGCCGGGGAUAACAGGCUAAUCCUUUAGUAGAGUUCGUAUUGGCUAAAGGGAUUGGCACCUCGAUGUUGAAUCAGGGAUAAUAGCUUCAAGGCGUAGAGGCUUUGAAAGUAGGUCUGUUCGACCUUUAAUACC